This 468-nucleotide ribosomal RNA is filed under the name uncultured bacterium. Its description in RNAcentral is "partial 16S ribosomal RNA". It matches the Rfam family "Bacterial small subunit ribosomal RNA", at positions 28 to 507 of the family's 1533-position model. The record is from RNAcentral.
GACGAACGCUGGCGGCGUGCUUAACACAUGCAAGUCGAACGGAAAGGCCCUGCUUUUGUGGGGUGCUCGAGUGGCGAACGGGUGAGUAACACGUGAGUAACCUGCCCUUGACUUUGGGAUAACUUCAGGAAACUGGGGCUAAUACCGGAUAGGAGCUCCUGCUGCAUGGUGGGGGUUGGAAAGUUUCGGCGGUUGGGGAUGGACUCGCGGCUUAUCAGCUUGUUGGUGGGGUAGUGGCUUACCAAGGCUUUGACGGGUAGCCGGCCUGAGCGGGUGACCGGCCACGUUGGGACUGAGAUACGGCCCAGACUCCUACGGGAGGCAGCAGUGGAGAAUAUUGCACAGUGGGCGGAAGCCUGAUGCAGCAACGCCGCGUGCGGGAUGACGGCCUUCGGGUUGGAAACCGCUUUCGCCUGUGACGAAGCGUGAGUGACGGUAAUGGGUAAAGAAGCACCGGCUAACUACGUG